CUAUCUUUUCCUCACUGAUUGCAAAGCUCCCUUUACCAUAUGGUAGAUUCCGGUGUAUCCUGAGCUGGACUCUGCACUCUCUGGUGCCUUUCCCAGCACUUUUCUCCAUGCUGUGUGGUUACUAUUGUCUUUUGAAACUUCAAAACCUAUCGGAAUGUAGGCCACUAGGUCAGGGCGUCAUGGAAACCCUUGUGUGCAGGGAGCAGCAGACAGAUGAUUCCCCAGUCCCGGAACACUCUCGGCCCUCUUCAGCCACUCCCUCCCCAACCCACACGCCAUCAACCUCCAGACCCUCUCGCCGUGGCUUAGAGGUGUCUCUGACAACGUGGCACACUGGGAAGGCCUUCUUUCCUGCUACCAAUACAAAUGCAUUCUGAAUUUGAUAUGUCAUUAAAUGUAAAAAUACAGCCAAUUUGAAACAAGCAAAUGGAAAUUCCCAGGAACCAAAAACAGAAAGAAAAAUCAGAGCUACCGCAGUGCUGUCCCUGCAGACAGAAUUUGGGAGAGGUACUCAGAGUCACCUCCUGUGAGCCUAUGCAAGCCAGCUCCUGCACAACCCUGGUUUUAGUCCAGGUAAAGGCCCGCCCAGGUGUUUGAAUAUGGACUCCUCACAUACUUCUGCAGACUCCAGCUUUGGGUUGACCCAUCGGGGAGAGGGAACUUAGCAUGAACCCUUGUAUAAAAAUGAAAAUCUCUUUCAUUGGAAGGGAAGAUCACUGACUGGGCUAGUCUCCCAAGACCUAGGAAAGAGCUUGGCUGUCAGAGGGUGAGCUAGGGAACGAACUGUGCUUGUUGAUAUCCACAUCCAAGGCUGAUGGCCGGAGGAGGCAGUUAAGAGCAAAAGGCAAUGGACCAAACUACAUCAAAGAUGGGAUUAUAACAAAACUUUAAAAGUUGGUUUACAAUGCAGAAAAUUCAUUCUUCUGGAAACAGACUUGAAAAAAAUAAAAUAUUUACUCUACCUUUCUUGUUCAGAACCAUGCCUUAGGCCUUCUGCAGAAUUCCACAUUAAACAGGAUGAAGAAUAGGUUGUUAGCAGACUGAGGUACUUGGGGCAACAUUUCGUACACAACAGGAGGGAGAAACGACUCCAGGUUGUCUUGUGGUAGAGGAGAUUUUGCCUUGCAAUUUUACAUACUUAUGCUACGUGGAAGGCUGGGUGGCGUGACUUCAGGAAAGAGACACACAGAGAGAGAGAGAAAGAGAGAAAGAGAGAACCCACCUACCUGUUUUGCAAAAGUCUCAUGAAUCAUCCCUUCCUGUGGUCCUGCUCCCUGAGAUCCUUUCACCGCUCACAGUGGGCUACUUCUAAGAGCGUGCCUGGCACAGGGUCACUGAGAGCAUAGUCUUAAUAAAACAAUGAUGGAUGCUUGUCUCUCUCACUGGGUGCCAUGCACUUUGAUCAGAAGCUUUAAGAAUGUUUUCCUCCACUGUCUAGUCACAGCCGUAUUAAAUUACACAAGGCAUGGGAAGAGGCAUAAUCUGUUGAUGAUAAAUCAGAAUUAAUGAGAGUUUAACAAGCCUGCUAAAUACUAAGUCAAUGUAAAAAAUCAAUUGUAAGCCCAUCUAUCAGAAAAACACUAUUAGCAAGCAAAAUUUACAUUUUUACUGCUUAACAUAGCAUCCCAAAUAUCAAGUACCUAGCAACAAAUCUAACGAAAGAUAUGCAAGACUUAUAGAGAAAACAGCAACAGCAACAACUUUGUUUAGAUACAUUAGCGAAGAUCUCAUUACAUGGAGACAUACACUAUGCUCAUGGACUGGAAGACUCCAUAUGGAAGAUGCCAAUUCACAUCUCAGAAUCUCAGCAGGUGUUGCAAAGAACCUGAAAAUUUGUUUUAAAAAUUCAUGUCAAAAUGCAAAGGUCCUACAAUUGCCAAAGAAAAAUAGGGAGGGAGGACCACCUGAUAUCAGCGGUGAUUAUAAAACAAUAAUAAAUGUGAUACCUUGCCUUAAGUCUGGGGAUAGACAAAUAGACGAGGGGCGCAGGUUGGAGAAUCCAGAAACUGACCCAUGAAUACAUUGACACUUGAUAUAUGACAGAAAUGGCCCCCAAAGCCAUGGGUGUCUGGGCAUAUAGUAUCCAUACAGAAAAAAUAUGAACUAUCUUCAAUAAGAGACAUAACACUAUAAAAGAAAAUCAUUUUAAGAAAAAAUUGUACAACUGAAUGUGAAAAACUAAGCUAUAAAUCUUUUAGAAGACAAUACAGGAGAACCUAUUUUUCCACCUUCAUUAUGUGGAGACCCAUCUUAAUAAAACACCAAAGGCAUUAAACAAAAUAAAUUUGACUACAUUAAAAUUAAGAAUUUUUGUUAAUUAAAAAAACACCUUUAAGAGAGUGAAAAGGCAAGGCAUAAAGAGAGAGAGAGACUGAGACUUUGCAACAAAGGACUGACAUUUGAAACAUCUAGAGAACAUCUACACAUCAAUAAGAAAAAGACUCCUUGGAAACAAAUGGGCCAAAGACUUCGGAGAUAUACUCCACAAAUGAAGAAACUCAAAGGGCCAAUAAACAGAAGAAAGGGGGCUCUGAUAUUUGCAGCAAGAAAAGAAAUGCAAAUUAAAACCACAGUAGGGCACCAUUACAUAUACAAGCUCAUUGGCAAAAACUUAAGUCUGGAAAUACCAAGCGUGGGUGAGAAAGUGGAGCAGUUGGAACUCUCUACAAAGCUUCUGAGAGUGCAAACCAGCACUGCUGCUCUGGAAGGCAGCUCAGCAUCAUCUGCCAAGGUUGAGGAAGAGAAGAAAAGCAGGAUUGGGAAGAUCGUAUCCACUUUGGCUUCAGUCUUUG
Molecule: long non-coding RNA, 2792 nt
Filed under: Homo sapiens (human)
Lineage: Eukaryota; Metazoa; Chordata; Mammalia; Primates; Hominidae
Description: HSALNT0380252
Source: RNAcentral